CGCGUAGGCGGUUAGGAAAGUCAGAUGUGAAAUUCCGGAGCUCAACUCCGGAGCUGCAUUUGAAACUUCCUGGCUAGAGUGCAGUUAGGGAAAACGGAAUUCCACGUGUAGCGGUGAAAUGCGUAGAUAUGUGGAAGAACACCGGUGGUGAAGACGGUUUUCUGGGCUGUAACUGACGCUGAGGCGCGAAAGCAAGGGGAGCAAACA
This 207-nucleotide ribosomal RNA is filed under the name uncultured bacterium. RNAcentral describes it as "partial 16S ribosomal RNA". It matches the Rfam family "Bacterial small subunit ribosomal RNA", at positions 568 to 774 of the family's 1533-position model. The record is from RNAcentral.